Crotalus tigris (Tiger rattlesnake) is the source of this 1683-nucleotide long non-coding RNA. RefSeq lists it as uncharacterized. NCBI's taxonomy places the organism in Eukaryota, Metazoa, Chordata, Lepidosauria, Squamata, Viperidae. The record is from RefSeq and is a predicted model, not a curated record. The transcript has 3 exons.
AGCUGGUUUUACUUUCCCGGACAAUGAGUUUUCAGAAUGUUUAUGAUUUUUCCCCUAUUUGUAGCCAAGAACAGUAAUUGGAUAUGCAACUGAUAAUGCCCCUGGGUACAUCUGGACUAAAUUAACUAAAAACCCUGCCUCUCCGUUGCCUUUUCAGCAGUCAAGAAUGUAUCCAGCUCUCAGGCCAUUUUCUAAUUGGCUGCUCCAGCUCUUAAUCUCAUCUAAGGGAAGUCUCUACAGAGCGAUAGGAUUCAGAAGUACAGGUAAUCCUUGGGUUAUGACCAUUAAUCAACAGCCCUGUUCAAAAUUACAACUGCACUGAAUGAGGGGGACUUAUGAUGGACCCUCAGUGUUCCUGCCAUUGCAACAUCCCCACAGUCAUGUGAUUGCAAUUUCCAACAUUCCCCACCAGCUUCCCACAAGCAAAGUCAACAGGGUAGCCGGCAGGAAGUUGGAAGUUGUAUUCAUGUGAGGUCCUCACUUAAUGACCUGCACAGUCCUGGUUUAAUGACAACAAUAGGGACUGCUGGAAUUGCCACUGUGAAGCGAUGCAUCACAUGUCAUGGUUUAUGACCACAUCACUUAGUAACAAAGUUCAAGGUCCCAUUUUGUCAUAUUUGUUGUAACUUGCGGACUACAUGUGGUUUGCUAGGGAUUAGACAUAGCAAUAUUGUAAUGACAUCAGUCACACAAAAGAAGUAAGUCUGCACUGAUUCAUGUGAAAUGAAGUAGGAUUUUUAACUCAUGUAAAUGAUAUAUAAGAGAGUCAGUGUGGUGUAGUUGUUAUGGUACCAGAUAGAAACUGGGAGAGUGUGAGUUUUUGUCCCAUUAGGCACAAAGCCAACUUGAUGACCUUGAGCCAGUCACUUAGCCCUAGGAAGGAAGAAGCGUCAAACCACUUCUAAAAAAUCUUGCAGUUGCCAGGAGUCAUCACUGAUUCAAAGGGACAAAAGAAAAAAAAAGAUAUUCAAUUACCUAUUCCUCCCUGUAAUAAAAUAAUAUCUGUGACCAAUUCAUAAUGUUAGCAUUUUAAUUCAUCUAAGUCAGGAAAACUUCUCUGAGAAAAGAAUUUGUGAUUUGGGCAUUCAUAUCUAAAACAAAGGCUCCUUUUUUAUUCAGAACUAUGCACUUAAUUCACACAUGACACGUCACAAGGUGGCUUGUGUUUUUGCCAUUGUGCGACCAUAGAGACCAUAAACAUCAUAAAGUCUUUAAAAAAAUGUUUUGUGUGUCUUAAGAUGGGUUUCACCAAAUAUGCUACAGGAUCAAAACCAAGCCAUUUGUAUCAGUAUUACAGGUAGCCCUUGUGUUAUGACAGCAGUCAGGAUGGGAUUGUUGUUGCUAAGUGAUACAGUCAUAUAACGCAUGAUGUCAUCAGUUAGCAAUCCCAGGGAAUCCGGUAGCCAUGGUAAUCCCAAGAUGGGCAGAUCUUUAAGCAGGAAGAGGGCUGGAGUCCCAGGAAAGGCCCACUGAUCAGCUUUCCUUCAGGAAGAGGGUACAGUACUUGUUUCUAGUGGAUAUCUUUUCUCUGAAAUCAGUCUUUCUUGUGGCAUUCUAGGUGACUAUUACGCUGCUUUAUCACGUGGAACGCCUCUGAAAAACAAGGGGCCCUCUAGGAUCCAUAUGCACAGAGAUUACAUAGGUGCGAUCCAAUCCAAGCAAAGGUUACUCUCUCAUUUCAAG